GUAAUAAAAGGCUGGCUCCCUUCGAGGGAGCCACUGCAAACGAAACAGUUUUGGACAGGCGUGCUGAUCCCAGACCUGUUCCGUCUGCUGCGGUUUUUUUACGCAUGGUUGAGUUAUUUGUAACGCAUGAAUCCCAUCUUAACAAAUAGGCUCCAGAAGAAACUGGGCUACACUUUUCAAC
RNAcentral lists this small RNA (181 nucleotides) under Sodalis glossinidius str. 'morsitans'. RNAcentral describes it as "rncO". It matches the Rfam family "rncO". From Rfam's summary of the family: This family represents a bacterial regulatory element (rncO) found in the rnc leader sequence. The record is from RNAcentral. Lineage: Bacteria; Pseudomonadati; Pseudomonadota; Gammaproteobacteria; Enterobacterales; Bruguierivoracaceae.